AAGGAACUCAGAACUGAAGAAGCUUCUCGGAUGAGAGGUGAAACGUCUUCAAGCAACUUAAAGAAGUCCAGACGCUUUUCUUUUCAAGCUCUUUAGACUAGCAAAAUUGCUAGAAUACUCGAAAAUUAGAUCUCCUCGUAGGCUAUAUUAUUUGCAACCAAAAUAGUUUUGUCUUAAAAUGAGAGCUCAUAAUACGUUUACAAUGAUGAAAAUGACUUUCAAGUGCCUCUGUAUUAGAGUUAGCCUCUGUUUUACACAUUCGUGUCUGUGAUGUAAAACUUACAUAUUAUUAUUAUUAUUGAUAAUAAUAAUAAUAAUAAUUAUUAUUAUUAUUAUUAUUAUUAUCAUAGGCCCGCAGUUUUGAGGAUGGCAUUUUAAGUCUGUCGUUACAGAUGCUGCGAUACUGCGAUCAAACAGUUGGGUUUUCUUUUCUUUUUCUUUCUUUUUUUUUGUCAAAACGGUUCUUUUACUGUGUUUAACUAGCGGACAUGGAUGCCAUCAUUUACGACGAGCACCUGAAGGCAGCAUUAAGGUCCCGCUCGCUCUCUCAGCCUUGGCAUUACGUCACGCGGUGGUUCAAGCUCCGAUGUUUUCUCUCAACAUCCUUGAAGGCGGCCGUAGGUUUCCAUGGUUACUCUCGCUAGGUAGUGCUUGGUUGCCACCUAAUGGGGAAUUAGAGACAUGCAAGCGCUAAUAACUGGUAAUUGUACUUUUUAGUCUACAUUCCUAUAGGUGAACUUAUUAGAAAGUCAGACUUUAUUGAUCCACACUGGAAAAUUCAGAUACCAGUCAUUAAAUUUAGACUCACUUUUAUUAGUUGGAACAUCAAAGUAAUAUAAAGAAUUCCAGUAUAUUACACAUUCUUCAGAAAUGAAUACUAUAGAAUAAGAUUUUAAGUGUUUUUGUUGUUUGUUUGUUUUUACCUUUGUACUUUUACUUAAGCAAAUGACCUAACACUAAAUAAAUAAAAUCAGAUUUUUUCAGUUUAUUUUUUAUUUACUUUUUAAGGAUGUGUAUAACCUGUUCUUACAAGCCUGGAACUGAUUAUUGGUAGGCUGGUGAGUGUUUCUGAUGAUCCACUGGGUCAUUACACAGCUGCUUAUGAAAUCUGCUUAACUAUGGGGAGGAACUUUGGACUUCACACACCAUCCCCUCAAAGAGCCAUUGUAGUUCAUCAGUGUUACUUGGUAAAUUGACUGGUUCUUAUAUAGGACAUUUCUAUUC
Long non-coding RNA from Astatotilapia calliptera (eastern happy), 1224 nucleotides. The record is from Ensembl. Lineage: Eukaryota; Metazoa; Chordata; Actinopteri; Cichliformes; Cichlidae.